UCUCCAGGCCUGUUAUCACCCUGUCCUCUAUCUCUCCAGGCCUGUUAUCACCCUGUCCUCUAUCUCUCCAGGCCUGUUGUCACCCUGUCCUCUCUCUCUCCAGGCCUGUUAUCACCCUGUCCUCUAUCUCUCCAGGCCUGUUAUCACCCUGUCCUCUAUCUCUCCAGGCCUGUUAUCACCCUGUCCUCUAUCUCUCCAGGCCUGUUGUCACCCUGUCCUCUAUCUCUCCAGGCCUGUUAUCACCCUGUCCUCUCUCUCUCCAGGCCUGUUAUCACCCUGUCCUCUCUCUCUCCAGGCCUGUUAUCACCCUGUCCUCUCUCUCUCCAGGCCUGUUAUCACCCUGUCCUCUCUCUCUCCAGGCCUGUUAUCACC
Molecule: long non-coding RNA, 372 nt
Organism: Oncorhynchus keta (chum salmon)
Lineage: Eukaryota; Metazoa; Chordata; Actinopteri; Salmoniformes; Salmonidae
Exons: 3
Source: RefSeq, a predicted model, not a curated record